UAGCUGCCCAAAAGGUUUAAGAUGACAA
RNAcentral lists this non-coding RNA (28 nucleotides) under Mus musculus (house mouse). The record is from RNAcentral. Lineage: Eukaryota; Metazoa; Chordata; Mammalia; Rodentia; Muridae.